RNAcentral lists this ribosomal RNA (369 nucleotides) under uncultured bacterium. RNAcentral describes it as "bacterial SSU rRNA". It matches the Rfam family "Bacterial small subunit ribosomal RNA", at positions 29 to 423 of the family's 1533-position model. The record is from RNAcentral.
AACGAACGCUGGCGGCAGGCUUAACACAUGCAAGUCGAACGGUUGUAGCAAUACAGCAGUGGCAGACGGGUGAGUAACACGUGGGAACCUUCCUAGGGGUACGGAACAACUCAGGGAAACUUGAGCUAAUACCGUAUACGUCCGUGAGGAGAAAGAUUUAUCGCCCUUAGACGGGCCCGCGUAGGAUUAGGUAGUUGGUGGGGUAAUGGCCUACCAAGCCUACGAUCCUUAGCUGAUCUGAGAGGAUGAUCAGCCACACUGGGACUGAGACACGGCCCAGACUCCUACGGGAGGCAGCAGUGGGGAAUCUUGGACAAUGGGCGCAAGCCUGAUCCAGCCAUGCCGCGUGAGUGAAGAAGGCCUUCGGUU